AGGGCAUUGAAAAAUAAACAAUUCGAAAUAUAAAUUACAUUCUUGAGUCCGUCUAAAAAAGAGUUCGAAUUGUGUUAAAUCACAUUUAAAAUGCAUUUGAAAAUUUCUUAUGAUGAUGACUUCUUACCUAAGUAUUUAUUUAGCGGUAGAUAGAAACUCAAUUAGAUUAGGGUCCAAUUCCAAACUUUCAUAAUUUGAUCACCCUAGUGGAGAGCUCGAUCGAUCCCAUUUUGAGUGCUCUAGAUAGUAGAGAG
Molecule: long non-coding RNA, 254 nt
Filed under: Prunus dulcis (almond)
Lineage: Eukaryota; Viridiplantae; Streptophyta; Magnoliopsida; Rosales; Rosaceae
Description: sRNA ncRNA
Source: RNAcentral